Molecule: ribosomal RNA, 503 nt
Filed under: uncultured bacterium
Lineage: Bacteria
Description: partial 16S ribosomal RNA
Rfam family: Bacterial small subunit ribosomal RNA
Source: RNAcentral
AUUGAACGCUGGCGGCAGGCUUAACACAUGCAAGUCGAGCGGGGUGAUGGUGCUUGCACUAUCACUUAGCGGCGGACGGGUGAGUAAUGCUUAGGAAUCUGCCUAUUAGUGGGGGACAACACCUCGAAAGGGAUGCUAAUACCGCAUACGUCCUACGGGAGAAAGCAGGGGAUCACUUGUGACCUUGCGCUAAUAGAUGAGCCUAAGUCGGAUUAGCUAGUUGGUGGGGUAAAGGCCUACCAAGGCGACGACCUGUAGCGGGUCUGAGAGGAUGAUCCGCCACACUGGGACUGAGACACGGCCCAGACUCCUACGGGAGGCAGCAGUGGGGAAUAUUGGACAAUGGGGGGAACCCUGAUCCAGCCAUGCCGCGUGUGUGAAGAAGGCCUUAUGGUUGUAAAGCACUUUAAGCGAGGAGGAGGCUCUUUUGGUUAAUACCCAAGAUGAGUGGACGUUGCUCGCAGAAUAAGCACCGGCUAACUCUGUGCCAGCAGCCGCAGUAA